Molecule: ribosomal RNA, 253 nt
Filed under: uncultured Eubacteriales bacterium
Lineage: Bacteria; Bacillati; Bacillota; Clostridia; Eubacteriales
Description: uncultured Clostridiales bacterium partial 16S ribosomal RNA
Rfam family: Bacterial small subunit ribosomal RNA
Source: RNAcentral
UACGUAGGUGGCAAGCGUUGUCCGGAUUUACUGGGUGUAAAGGGCGUGUAGCCGGGUUGACAAGUCAGAUGUGAAAUCCUGCGGCUUAACCGCAGAACUGCAUUUGAAACUGUUGAACUUGAGUGCAGAAGAGGAGAGUGGAACUCCAUGUGUAGCGGUGGAAUGCGUAGAUAUUAGGAGGAACACCAGUGGCGAAGGCGGCUUACUGGACGAUGACUGACGCUGAGGCUCGAAAGCGUGGGGAGCAAACAGG